GACGAACGCUGGCGGCGUGCCUAACACAUGCAAGUCGAACGGACAGGCCCCUUUGGGGGUCCUCGAGUGGCGAACGGGUUAGUAACACGCGUGUAACCUGCCCUUGACUUCGGGAAACUUUUGGGAAUCUGGGGUUAGUCCCGGAUGGGAAACAUUGCUCCCCGUUGGGGGUGGGAACGUUUCGGCGGCUUGGUUUGUACGCGCGUCUCUUCCGCUUGUUGUGGUGGUAGUGUCUUCCCAGGGCUUUGUCGGGUACCUGGCGUGGGAGGGCGACCGGCCACAUUGGGACUGGGAUACGGCCCAGACUCCUACGGGAGGCAGAAGUGGGGAAGAGUGCACAAGGGGCAGGAGCCUGAUGCAGCAACGCCGCGGGCGGGAGAACGACCUACGGGUUGGAAACGGCUUUCAGCAGGGGCGAAGCUGGUGGUGACGGUACCUGCAGAAGAAGCACCGGCUAACUACGUG
Molecule: ribosomal RNA, 465 nt
Filed under: uncultured bacterium
Lineage: Bacteria
Description: partial 16S ribosomal RNA
Rfam family: Bacterial small subunit ribosomal RNA
Source: RNAcentral